ACGGCUCAGUAACACGUAGUCAACAUGCCCAGGGGACGUGGAUAACCUCGGGAAACUGAGGAUAAACCGCGAUAAGUCACUACUUCUGGAAUGGGUAAUGACUCAAAUCUACAUGGCCCCUGGAUUGGACUGCGGCCGAUCAGGCUGUUGGUGAGGUAAUGGCCCACCAAACCUAUAACCGGUACGGGCUCUGAGAGGAGAAGCCCGGAGAUGGGCACUGAGACAAGGGCCCAGGCCCUAUGGGGCGCAGCAGGCGCGAAACCUCUGCAAUAGGCGAAAGCCUGACAGGGUUACUCUGAGUGAUUUCCGUUAAGGAGAUCUUUUGGCACCUCUAAAAAUGGUGCAGAAUAAGGGGUGGGCAAGUCUGGUGUCAGCCGCCGCGGUAAUACCAGCACCCCGAGUGGUCGGGACGUUUAUUGGGCCUAAAGCAUCCGUAGCCGGUUCUACAAGUCUUCCGUUAAAUCCACCUGCUUAACAGAUGGGCUGCGGAAGAUACUAUAGAGCUAGGAGGCGGGAGAGGCAAGCGGUACUCGAUGGGUAGGGGUAAAAUCCUUUGAUCCAUUGAAGACCACCAGUGGCGAAGGCGGCUUGCCAGAACGCGCUCGACGGUGUGGGAUGAAAGCUGGGGGAGCAAACCGGAUUAGAUACCCGGGUAGUCCCAGCUGUAAACGAUGCAGACUCGGUGAUGAGUUGGCUUUAUGCCAACUCAGUGCCGCAGGGAAGCCGUUAAGUUUGCCGCCUGGGGAGUACGGUCGCAAGACUGAAACUUAAAGGAAUUGGCGGGGGAGCAC
RNAcentral lists this ribosomal RNA (791 nucleotides) under uncultured archaeon. RNAcentral describes it as "bacterial SSU rRNA". It matches the Rfam family "Archaeal small subunit ribosomal RNA", at positions 85 to 879 of the family's 1478-position model. The record is from RNAcentral.